UACGUAGGCAGCGAGCGUUGUUCGGAAUUACUGGGCGUAAAGAGUGUGUAGGCGGUGCUCCCAGUCUGUUGUGAAAUCUCCCGGCUUAACUGGGAGGGUGCAGCGGAAACUAGAGUGCUAGAGGGUGGGAGAGGUAAGCGGAAUUCCUGGUGUAGCGGUGAAAUGCGUAGAUAUCAGGAGGAACACCUGUGGUGUAGACAGCUUACUGGGCCACUUCUGACGCUGAGACACGAAAGCGUGGGUAGCAAACAGG
RNAcentral lists this ribosomal RNA (253 nucleotides) under uncultured bacterium. RNAcentral's name for it is "partial 16S ribosomal RNA". It matches the Rfam family "Bacterial small subunit ribosomal RNA", at positions 524 to 776 of the family's 1533-position model. The record is from RNAcentral.